CCUACGGGUGGCAGCAGUGAGGAAUAUUGGUCAAUGGCCGGAAGGCUGAACCAGCCAUGCCGCGUGAAGGUCAGUGCCCUAUGGGCGUUAAACUUCUUUUGUGCGGGAGCAAUACUGGUCACGUGUGGACAGACGAGAGUACCGUACGAAUAAGCAUCGGCUAAAUACGUGCCAGCAGCCGCGGUAAUACGGGGGAUGCAAGCGUUCUCCGGGUUUGUUGGGUUUAAAGGGUGCGUAGGCUGUGAGGUAAGUCAGCGGUGAAAUGCCCCCGCUCAACGGGGGGAAGUGCCAUUGAGACUUUCUUGCUAGAAUGCGGAUGCCGUGGGAGGAAUGUGUGGUGUAGCGGUGAAAUGCAUAGAUAUCACACAGAACACCGAUUGCGAAGGCAUCUCACGAAUCCGCGAUUGACGCUGAUGCACGAAAGCGUGGGUAUCAAACAGGAUUAGAUACCCUUGUAGUC
Molecule: ribosomal RNA, 460 nt
Filed under: uncultured bacterium
Lineage: Bacteria
Description: partial 16S ribosomal RNA
Rfam family: Bacterial small subunit ribosomal RNA
Source: RNAcentral